AUUGAACGCUGGCGGCAUGCUUUACACAUGCAAGUCGGACGGCAGCACAGAGAAGCUUGCUUCUUGGGUGGCGAGUGGCGAACGGGUGAGUAACAUAUCGGAACGUACCGAGCAGUGGGGGAUAACUAAUCGAAAGAUUAGCUAAUACCGCAUAUCUUCUGAGGAAGAAAGCAGGGGACCAUUUGGCCUUGCGCUGUUUGAGCGGCCGAUAUCUGAUUAGCUAGUUAGUGGGGUAAAGGCCUACCAAGGCGACGAUCAGUAGCGGGUCUGAGAGGAUGAUCCGCCACACUGGGACUGAGACACGGCCCAGACUCCUACGGGAGGCAGCAGUGGGGAAUUUUGGACAAUGGGCGCAAGCCUGAUCCAGCCAUGCCGCGUGUCUGAAGAAGGCCUUCGGGUUGUAAAGGACUUUUGUCAGGGAAGAAAAGGGCGGGGUUAAUACCCCUGUCUGAUGACGGUACCUGAAGAAUAAGCACCGGCUAACUACGUG
RNAcentral lists this ribosomal RNA (490 nucleotides) under uncultured bacterium. RNAcentral describes it as "partial 16S ribosomal RNA". It matches the Rfam family "Bacterial small subunit ribosomal RNA", at positions 30 to 507 of the family's 1533-position model. The record is from RNAcentral.